CGAUGACGAUAACGCAUGUUUUUGUCAACGGGACUGCGUUUUCCGACACGUUGCAAAAUGCAACCGGCAGCCAGAGCUAAAGAGAGAGAGAGAGAGGCAGAGCUGGGACAAUAUUGCAUGCGCCACGUCUCAAUGUCUGUGACUAUUAAUAGACAGCGUCGUCCGUUUGCAUCGCGAAACAGCUGGCGGAAUUCACUCCAGCGGAAAUUCCGUAAACGUGCAUUGCAUCAUAAUACGUUUGCAACGUGUGAUUUUCAUUUUUGCACGUAAUAAGUGCACGACUCUGGUCCUUUCUGCCUUGAUUAUUCACGUGGCCGCCCUCUCCCCCAGAUCCCCUUUAUCAUUUUUAUGGGGAAAUAAAAAUCCCGACCGGUUCCUCUUCGUCUCUCUGCGUCUCCACCACGCACUCCGAUGGCCCUUGACAAUUUCCUGUUAAUAGCAAAAGUGCAUACGUAUAACAUCGCCGAUCGAUCGGCCACUUGGACGCUUAUAUAACCGCGGUGUAAACAACGACGUUGGGUAUAUUUAUAUACAUAUGUGCAGUGCUUAACAAUUUUUUCCGUACGACAGAGAUUUACGACCAGACGCGCCUCAUUGAUAUCCGAUAACUAUUAGCGGCCGCGCUAUUAUAAUGCGUGCGAUUAGUCUUGAAAAAAAUGCGCAACGGCGAACGUAUACGCACGGCGAACGUUGCGUCGUUUGCAUGGAAAAUUGACUUGUUUAUCUUCCGUUAAUCGCGCGAUGAAUGCUCUCGCUCGCGCUGAAAUUCGAAUCGCGAUACUUUGCGCGUCGUCCAAUUCCGCGACGGCGCAGCUUCUGUGUACGUAUAUGUGUACGUGUGUGUGUAUGCGCGUUAUUUUUUAUUUAUACGUCAGGUCUAGGUCUUUAUUGCGUUGCAGUUGAAGAUUCUUCAUGUUGCGCAGCAAGAAGUACCGCAGAUCGAGACUUCGCGGCGUGCGCACGUACGUAGAAUUGCCCGGGCAAUUAUAGAGGCUGUCUUCGCAUGCAGUUACGUAUAUCCAUUCAAUUACGAAUGAGCAUGAUGGAUCGGCCGUGACGAACAGCGAUACAAUGAAACGGAACAAUACGAUUAAUAAAAAGCAGCGACUGUCGCCGGCUGUCGCCCUGAAAGUUACAUCUGAUAGCGCGUUAACGUGGCGAUACGUCAAGAUAAAGGAGAGACGGAUACGCGAGAUGGGUCGGAAUAGGCGCCAAGUGGUUAAACAAAAGACAAUCAACAAUAGACCUGCGAAGGCGGCACGCAAACACACGUCCACAUCCGCGCACCUCCCUGAUUAAAUUGUGCCGGAGAAGAUAUUGGCAACGUCCCCGAAUAUUGGCAUCCCCGUGGCACCAGGAGGAUGAGGAGAACCAGCGUUGAAGGAGAACGAGGCGUGAGCAGUGGAAGAAGUCAGACGCGACCAGACGCGAUUUAACGCUUGGACUGCGCCCAGCCAAAUAACAACGAUAUUAAUUUUCUUUCAUUAAUAUAUAUGAGAAAAAAAAAUCAAAUUUAUAGCGCUGUUAGAAGACUCGCCAACGUCGUCCUGAAGUGCCACAAAAUGCCAAGUUGCCAUCAAUUCGCGCGAUGGUGGACUGCAUUACUAUAUGCAACACCGCUUGCAUAGCAUGCAUCUGGUGCAUCCUCUUUUCGGUAUGUUUUCCAAAUUUCUCGAGGAACCUUCGGAAGGCGGAUUCGAGCGAGUGCUGCAUACGCGGAAAGCCAGCUCGGAAGCGCAAUCGGGAGGCACACUCGCGUGAUUUUCCGAGAUGCGGGAAAGCUGACGCAGUUCAUGCACGACGGAGAUUCAAGGACCGUUCACGCUCUGAACGCAAUCGCGAAGACCGACGAGGACGCCGAUCUCGUUGCGAGGAGAAAACGUGCAGUCGAAUAAGAGGAUCCCAUCGAGGAAGCUUGAAGGAGGACGAAACAAUUUCGCCGACAUGCAGCGGAGUCAGAUGCGCGGAUGGUUGCAACAUCCUUGCGGGGUCGGGUGAUUCCUUGGGCAGGAAGAGCGACAACGCCGUCCUCAGAGCAGACAGCAGCGAGUAUCGCAUCUGUAGAAGAUCUUGAAUAUUUCAAGACCUUUUGUUCGUUUCCGAGAAUCGCGAACCGAGUGGAAUGUGCAAGCAAAAUAAAAGUAUCGUGAGAUGA
Ooceraea biroi (clonal raider ant) is the source of this 2155-nucleotide RNA transcript. RefSeq lists it as uncharacterized. NCBI's taxonomy places the organism in Eukaryota, Metazoa, Arthropoda, Insecta, Hymenoptera, Formicidae. The record is from RefSeq and is a predicted model, not a curated record.